UUAAACAGUUGUUGUUAGUUUAGUUUCACCUCUUAUUUUACGUAAACCGGUCCUAAUUACAAUUAAUUUAAUAAUAGUGUUGUUCGUAAAACAAAAUAUUUUAAGGUGUGAAUCCGUCUUUUAAUAGUUAUUUCUGACUAUUGUGCUUAGUUCACUGAGUGUGAGAAAAUUGAUACUAAAAAUGAUACAAGUAACGUGUAACUAUAGACUAGAGUGGAUGAACUUACAGCUAAAUGCGUUAAAUUAAGUGGCAUUCCAGUAGAUCGAAUAAUGUUAUUCCACCGUGGACAACCUUUGAUCAACCAACUUACAUCGUUGGGUGAAUUCAUUCAAGAAUAUGAUGUCAUUGAAAUAACCGAGUGUAAAGUUGGCAAAAUAUUGGAAAACAAAACAGUUGAAUGUAAGCCAAAGGAAAAGAAGAAUAACGUAAUUACUGUUUACGUUAUUUAUAUUGUUUUUUAGCUUCGAUGCGAAGCUAAAUUUUGAAGAAAAAAAAUUUGACCUCUGGAUUUGUCAUUAUGGUA
Daktulosphaira vitifoliae (grape phylloxera) is the source of this 524-nucleotide long non-coding RNA. RefSeq lists it as uncharacterized. Lineage: Eukaryota; Metazoa; Arthropoda; Insecta; Hemiptera; Phylloxeridae. The transcript has 3 exons. The record is from RefSeq and is a predicted model, not a curated record.